This 7274-nucleotide unclassified non-coding RNA is filed under the name Haliotis rufescens (red abalone). Its description in RNAcentral is "nFX1-type zinc finger-containing protein 1-like, transcript variant X1". The record is from RNAcentral. Lineage: Eukaryota; Metazoa; Mollusca; Gastropoda; Lepetellida; Haliotidae.
UCAGUAGCAGUAUAAAUUGACCGUGCGUCUUUUUAGAAGCUCAUUCAGACUUGGAACAUGGUGUCAGUAUAUUAAAUGCAGCACUCGCCUUCCUAAUUACCUGGAUUUUUCCGAUGUCACAUCAAAAAGGUGCAUGGGGGUGGAGUCAAGGAGGCGGAGGAUCUCGAAGAGGAAGAAGAAGACACCAAACAAGAGGCUAUUAUGACAUGGACGAAUACCGACGUCAAGGGCAAGGAAGGGUAAGAGGAAGAGGACAAAGAAGACAGAUUGGGUUCGAACGAUUAAGAGAUCUCACAGAUGAAGACAAUGUUGAAAAUAUAACUUUAGAACUCGCAAGUGAUAAAAGUGGUUUUGAGUCAAUGUUACAUAGUUCUUUUAUGCGCAUGGAUGAAGUCUGUCUUGUCCUUGAUGUGGUAGUCAAAAUAACCCGUACGCAUCAAAAAGAAGGCCUGAAAAAGGUUCUGAAGAUGCUAUGCACAUCUGGUUUUUUGGAAACCCAUCUUGUAAGGUUUAUCGAACAGCUCCGAACAUACUCUGAGAUUGAAUACAAUUGUGACAAUGUGUGCGUUAUAUGUCAGGAAAUACUGAAGAAACUCCCAAGGUAUGCAGAGGAAUGCAUUGUUGCUUUACAAUUUAUUGGGGAAGUGUUCUAUGAUAGCGGUUUGAUCCAUGAUAACCCUGAACUUGAAGCAUAUAGAGCAGAUUUGGAGGAGACAUGUAUUCAGCACAUGCAGUAUGGUUUUGAAAGAGAGGAUGAAGAACCACCGAACAACUACAGGGAUCUAGAGAUGUUUCCCAGCCCCCAGGAGUUGCUGGCAGAUGAGAAGCCAUUCCUGAGGGAGAACAAAGACAAGGGAGCCUACUCUAACUUAGACACUUACCUUGAUGUUCAGUUCCGGUUAUUACGGGAGGAUUACAUCCAACCAUUGAGGAAAGGUAUACUUGCGUACCAACAAUGCAAAUUAGACCAAGUUCCAAACAAGGUUGCAGAUACAUGGUUGUAUCACAAUGUACACAUAAUCCGCUCGAUUUGCUCUGAUGAUGUUGACACACGGUUGACAUUUGAUGUUUCUCGUGUUGGAAGAAUUCGAUGGCAGUCAACUAAAAGGUUGAUCUAUGGUUCUCUGGUUUGUCUCUCAAAUGACAACUUUGAGACGAUGCUCUUUGCAACUGUAACAAACAGAACUGUUCACGAUUUAUUGAAAGGGAACAUAGAGGUUAGGUUUGAGCAAGAUUUUGACAUUGUACUCAACAUAUCUCCAACUGACACAUUCAUUAUGGCUGAAACCCCAGCUUACUUUGAAGCCUAUAGGCAUGUCCUUUCAAAACUGCAACAGAUCGAAGACUCCCUUCCAUUCCAACAGUAUCUUGUUGACUGUGAAACAAACAUCCAAGAACCGGAAUAUAUAGAUCAUAGUGUGCGAUACAAUAUGACUGCUCUUGGAGGAUACAUGUACAGGGCAUAUCUUUCAUCAGUACCAUUACUAGACACAAGAAAAUGGCCACCACUGAAGGUUUAUGAUCUCAAUGAGGUUCAGCUACAGGCAGUGAGGAUAGCUCUUACGAAGGAACUUGCCAUUAUUCAAGGCCCACCAGGCACAGGCAAGACAUAUGUGGGCCUGAAGAUCAUGGAAGUUCUCUUGGAGAACAAAGCUCAGUGGUCAUAUCCAGGGUCCAACAAUGUGAUCCUUGUUGUCUGUUACACAAACCAUGCCCUGGAUCAGUUCCUUGAAGGAAUUCACAAGUUCCAUCCAUAUGGUAUCAUUCGAGUCGGAGGGCGAAGCAGUAGCAAAAUUCUUGAACCUUACAACCUGAAAGAACUACGCAGUGACAGAAGGAGAAAGAAAAAGAUGAGAAGGAUUGUUCAUGACAAUUAUUGGGAAUGUAAAAACCAAAUGGCUGCUAUCAAAAACACAAUUGAGGAGGUAGGCUGUAGGAUCGAGGCAAGCAUGCUUGGUGUUCUUCAUGAAGAUGUAUUGAGGCCACAUAUGGAACUUAAUCACUUUAGAAGCCUUCUAAAGAAGUUCAGAAUGGGUAGACAAUCAGCCAUUUUAACAUGGCUUGAGUUCAGAGACCUACCAGCUAGUACUCGAGCUGAAAAAACAUUCCAACGACUCAUAGAUUAUUGGACAAAAGCAGUUCUGGAUUAUGUCAGUUAUCAAGGACCCAUCAAAGAGGAUUUUUUCGAUAAUGGUCAGAUUCUGUCAAUGCCAUUUGUUGAGAGAGCUCAUAUGUACAAAUUAUGGCUUGAACAGUUUAGAUUUAAUGUCAAUCGGGGAAAAGAAAAAAUAGAGACACAGUGUCAAGAUGGAACUAUGACCAAUAGAGGUGGCCAUUUCAUUCUUCAAAAGUUGACUUCUCAGCUCAAACAGGCAAUGAUCUCCAUACUUCCAGAUGCUCUUUUACAGCAGUUUGUUCCAAGGCCUGUAUACAAGCUUAUCAAGGACACAUACUCUGAACACAACGAGGAAUACUCAAUCAAAGUAUGGCUUGGAGCUACACCACUUGUAGCUGUCGAUGAAGAUGAACUCUAUGAUGCCAUUGAAGAACUGGAUGAAAUCAAAUCAGGACUCUCAAAGGCAGAUGAAACAGCAGCUAUCAUUACCGGACAGAGAUUUGUUGAUGAUGAGGUUGAUAUUGUUUCAAAGCCAUCAGUUCAGAUGUCAAAGGCCACAAAUAAGUUGGCUCUGAGUUUUCAAUCGCUUCAUUACACCAAAUUACAUGAAGGAAACCAGAGUGCCAAUGAACAAGUUCAAUCUGCACACAAACGAAAGCAGAAGAAACGACUAGAGAAAAUUUUAAUGGAUGCACAACCCAUUAAUGCACAAAUAUUGCAAUGCAGGGAUGUGUGGGAUCUGAAUAUGAAUGACCGGGAAUCACUGUACAAGACAUGGGUGACAAGGUAUCAGCUUUAUUGCAAAUCAUCCAUCAAAGAUAAAGAACAGGAAUACAGACAAUUAGCAAAGAGGCGGAAGGAAGUCUUGAGGGAAGAGUAUAAAGAUAUUCUCUCUCAAGCAGACAUCAUUGGAAUGACAACUACAGGAGCUGCUAAACAUGCAGCUCUUCUUGAAGCUGUAGCGCCUCGUAUUGUCGUAGUAGAGGAGGCUGCUGAAGUCCUGGAGUCCCACAUAAUCACUGCCCUCAACACUGAGUGCCAACACCUCAUUCUCAUAGGAGACCACCAACAACUCAGACCAAACCCUACCGUCUAUGAACUGGCGAGGAAAUACCAUCUUGACAUAUCGCUGUUUGAAAGGUUGGUGAAGAAUGGGUUACAUCAUGUGACUUUAGAAUUCCAACACAGAAUGAGACCGGAGAUAUCUGUCCUAAUGAAACACAUUUACCCAACAUUGAAGGACCAUACCUCUGUUACAAACUUUAACUCUAUACGUGGUGUUGACAAGAACGUGUUUUUCCUUUCCCACCAGCACAGGGAACACCAUCUGAAUGAGACUAUGAGUAAGUCAAAUGAGCAUGAAGCAUCUUUCAUCAUAGCCUUGUGCAAGUACUUUCUGCUCCAGGGCUAUGAAGCAUCAGACAUAACAAUACUUGCUGCUUACACAGGACAAAUUUCAUUAAUCAAGAGACUCAUGGGAAAGGAGAAUGACCUCUUCCUAGAUGUGCGUUUGACUUCUGUUGACAAUUUUCAAGGAGAAGAAUGCAAGAUUAUCCUUUUGUCAUUUGUCCGCAGCAAUGAGGAAGGAUCUGUUGGAUUCUUGAGUAUUGACAAUAGGAUUUGUGUUGCACUCUCACGAGCAAAGGAAGGAAUGUUUGCUUUUGGGGAUUUUACUCUAUUUGCAGAAAAAAGCCCACUGUGGGCCAGUAUUGUACAGACGCUACGAUCAACAAACUCCAUUGGUCCAGUCCUGCUUCUGAGGUGCAGGAACCACCCGGAGAUAACAGUGUCAGUCUCAUCUGCUAGUGACUUUAACAAGGCUCCCAGAGGCGGAUGCACAAAGAGUUGUGGUGUCAGUCUCAUGUGUGGUCACAAGUGUGAUGAAAUUUGUCAUGUAAAUGACAUGGAACAUAGAGAGCAUAAAUGUCAGAAACCAUGCAAAAGGCUAUGUGACAAAUGUGGACAAAGAUGUUUGAAGAGAUGCUUUCAAAAAUGUAAAUGCACUAACAUGGUAAGAAAGACAAUACCUAAAUGUGGUCAUACAAAAGAAAUGCAGUGUGACUCAGAUCCUUCACUUUGGAAGUGUAGCAAAUUGUGCAUGGUGGUUCUGCCAUGCAGGCACAGAUGCGCUGGUAUUUGUGGAGAAUGUAAAAAUGUACAGUCUGGCCACAUGAAGUGCAUGAAGCCUUGUGCACGGCAUCUUUCCUGUGGUCAUUCAUGCAGAGGGGUUUGUGGAGACUGUACACGAAAUGGCUGCAUGGAAAAGUGUGAACAAAUCGUCAAUGUAAAACUAAAAUGUGGACAUAAUUGUCGUAUGCAUUGCCGAGACUCAAAGAAAAACUACAAAUGCUCUCAUAAAUGCGAGCAAAAUCUGACUUGUGGACACAAGUGCAUGCAAAACUGUAGCCAAUGCAGUCUUUUGGGUCAUGUCAAGAAGUGUGCUGUUACAACGAAAGAGACACUUCCGUGUGGACAUGUUAUUGAAAGUGAAUGCCACAAGUCAACUUUACAGAUGAAGUGCAUGAAGCCUUGUGCACAACAUCUUUCCUGUGGUCAUUCAUGCAGAGGGGUUUGUGGAGACUGUACACGAAAUGGCUGCAUGGAAAAGUGUGAACAAAUCGUCAAUGUAAAACUAAAAUGUGGACAUAAUUGUCGUAUGCAUUGCCGAGACUCAAAGAAAAACUACAAAUGCUCUCGUAAAUGCGAGCAAGAUCUGACUUGUGGACACAAGUGCAUGCAAAACUGUAGCUGUUACAACGAAAGAGACACUUCCAUGUGGACACGUUAUUGAAAGUGAAUGCCACAAGUCAACUUUACAGAUGAAGUGCAUGAAGCCUUGUGCACGACAUCUUUCCUGUGGCCAUUCAUGCAGAGGGGUUUGUGGAGACUGUACACGAAAUGGCUGCAUGGAAAAGUGUGAACAAAUCGUCAAUGUAAAACUAAAAUGUGGACAUAAUUAUCGUAUGCUUUGUCAUUCUACUAAAUGGGAUUUCAAAUGUGUUUGUGACCAAACAUAACGUUCAAAGAGUCCAGAUGUAGCGCAUCGUUUAAGGAUGACCGUCUACCCGGUUUGAAAAUUGGAAUGACAUCUUAUUUGAAACCACCAGGAUACCUAUGUUCGUUGUAAUGAAAUGUCGCCAUGAACACUUCUGUGAACACACUCUUUUUUGAGUGCAGUUGUUGAGUGUAAAUUAUUGCUACUUUAGUUUUUUAACAUGACACAAAGCCAACACUCACUAUUCAAAUAUGAUAAAAUGACACAAAACCCAAGCUGUUCCAAUACGAUUAGACGAGACAUAACCUGACCAUCAAAGUGAAAGUCCGAGUUAGAAUAGGUCUUCAGCAACCCAUGCAUGUCAUAAGAGCAGACUAACGAGAUCGGAUGGUCAGGCUCGCUGACUUGGUUGAUGUAUGUCAUUGUAUCCAAAUUGCGUAUAUAGUUGCUCUUGAUGUCGAUCACUGAAUUGACUGGUCCGAUUCGAUUAUUUCAGACCACUGUCAUAUAGCUAGAAUAUUGCUGAAUUAUUUAUUGCUUGAAUAUUGUUCGUUAAACAACAAACGAAACCUGACAAUCAUUAUUAUGGUGUUAUAACAUGACACAAUUCCUAACAGUAACUAUUAAUGCGAAAGUAGUAACCUUAAGUAAAAGGUGACUAUGCUUGUCGUAAGAGGCGACUAACGGGAUCGGGUGGUCUCUGACUUGGUUGAUGCAUGUCAUUGAUCCAAAUUGCGUGGAUCGAUGCUCAUGACAUUAAUAACUUAAUUGUCUGGUCCAGACUCGAUUAUUUCCAGACCGCCGUCAUAUAGAUGGAAUAUUGCUGGGUGCGGCGUUAAACAACCAAGUAACCUUGAACAGUAUUUACGAAACAGGACGUCCUACCGUAGCCUUUCAGAUGAUUAAAGUUAUUUUGAGGAUUAUAUCACGCGAAAAAAGUAUUCUGGCUUUGGAUGUCUUAGGGUAGCAUAGUUUAUCAACUACAUUACAAGUUUAACAUGAAAGCAGGAACGUUUGUAUGGUUAAAAACAUGACCUGAUGAAGGUGCAAGAAAUUGUUCCUGAAAUAUCCCGAUAAACAAUAACGAAAUUGCUAUCGAUGAAAAGCUCCAACUCUUGUUCGUGACAUCAGUUAAGUUGAGUUCAAAGAUGUUAAACAUUCUUUUUACCACUAUUUUGCCUUUUACACCCAGCUGAAUCUGUUUCAGCAGAUAAUGGAGGCUGAAAUAUUUGAAAUAUUUCACGUUUGAAAUAUAGGUCAAUUUCAUAUUGCGGUGUAGUGAAUGGAAUGGAUAGUAGCAGUUGGUAAAUAAGCUGCUGUGUAUAUUUUGUACAUGCAUCCCCAAAGACAAAACGCUUUCUUCAUCUCUAUAUAUUUUAUAUUGGAAUAUAACUGUUAGUAACAUGUUUCUAUUUCUUUUUCGCUUAUUGGUUAAUAUUUCGUAUUAGGGAUUUCUAACUAUCACAGGUGUCGUAUGUAUAUCAUAAGCAUGUUGUUCGAUAUAAGUAAACCCUGCAGAAGUAGUUGUGAUUAAGUGUCAAAGAGAAUUCUACAUGACAAAAUAUGUUUGCUUGAAACCAUGUUGUAAAUAUUGUGUGAACAAUCAGAUCUUACGUUACACAACUGUAAGCCAUGUGACCCUUCAAAACAAAGCAUCACUUGAUUCUGUUUCUGUUCCUUCGUAUCAUAAUUGAAUUGAAGUACCUCGUAGACAAGGAUCCACAAAAAUUGUCAUCACAAAAGUAAUAAUAAAUUAUGAAUACAAAUUAUAGACAAAUUGGUAUUGUUUUUUUAUUUCACCCAUCUUUAAUAUCUUAUUAUUGUUAUUAAUGCUGUGUAAUGUAUUACAGUUUGAUACGUGUAUCAUAUUAAGGUUGUUUGUGUAUAACACUGGAUGAAAAACAAUUCCUGCUUAUGUCAAAAGAAUUACAAAUAUAUGUAAAACCAUCACUGACAAUGAAGAACUAGAUUCUUCUUAAACUGGUAUUAUAGGCAUGUUCCUUCUUAAAAAGUUACUCAUACAUUUUGUUUAAUCUAUGUGUGUAUAUAUUGGUUCCACUUUCCCCUGUUUGUGUGCAACAAGUUGUUGCUGAAACGUUAUCAGUUAGAUUCACAGUGCUGUAUCCUUUAAAUGGUGUUUAUCAUUAAACAAAAUAAAAUGAC